UGGGGAAUCUUGCACAAUGGGGGAAACCCUGAUGCAGCGACGCCGCGUGAGCGAUGAAGCCCUUCGGGGUGUAAAGCUCUUUCGUCGGGGAAGAUAAUGACGGUACCCGGAGAAGCAGCUGCGGCUAACUACGUGCCAGCAGCCGCGGUAAUACGUAGGCAGCAAGCGUUGUUCGGAGUUACUGGGCGUAAAGGGUGCGUAGGCGGCUAUUUAAGUUUGGUGUGAAAUCUCCCGGCUCAACCGGGAGGGUGCGCCGAAUACUGAGUGGCUAGAGUGCGGGAGAGGAAAGUGGAAUUCCUGGUGUAGCGGUGAAAUGCGUAGAUAUCAGGAGGAACACCGGUGGUGUAAACGGCUUUCUGGACCGUAACUGACGCUGAGGCACGAAAGCGUGGGUAGCAAACA
This 402-nucleotide ribosomal RNA is filed under the name uncultured Candidatus Solibacter sp. RNAcentral's name for it is "bacterial SSU rRNA". It matches the Rfam family "Bacterial small subunit ribosomal RNA", at positions 355 to 774 of the family's 1533-position model. The record is from RNAcentral. Lineage: Bacteria; Pseudomonadati; Acidobacteriota; Terriglobia; Bryobacterales; Solibacteraceae.